RNAcentral lists this non-coding RNA (201 nucleotides) under Deltaproteobacteria bacterium. Its description in RNAcentral is "6S RNA". It matches the Rfam family "6S / SsrS RNA". From Rfam's summary of the family: E. coli 6S RNA was the first non coding RNA to be sequenced, but its function was unknown until recently. Lineage: Bacteria; Pseudomonadati; Myxococcota; Myxococcia. The record is from RNAcentral. RNAcentral also lists the same sequence under 1 other name.
AUUUCCCUGCCUUGUUCGCGUUUGGUGCUUUAUUAUGAUUUAGAACCUAGCUGAUGAGAACGGGAGCUUCCGCUAACGGCGGUGAGCAAGCCCGCCGACCUUCGGGCCGCAUGCGGGAAGCCUAAUGCCGUGAUUGAAGCGCCCACCUAUUUUAAAUAGGUUCAAAUCUCGCAGCCCCACACGACAGAAGGUGGGGAGAAU